This 461-nucleotide ribosomal RNA is filed under the name uncultured bacterium. RNAcentral's name for it is "partial 16S ribosomal RNA". It matches the Rfam family "Bacterial small subunit ribosomal RNA", at positions 338 to 795 of the family's 1533-position model. The record is from RNAcentral.
CCUACGGGUGGCAGCAGUGAGGAAUAUUGGUCAAUGGGCUUACGCCUGAACCAGCCAAGUCGCGUGAGGGAAGACUGCCCUAUGGGUUGUAAACCUCUUUUGUCAGGGAGCAACGCCGGCUACGUGUAGUCGGACUGAGAGUACCUGAAGAAAAAGCAUCGGCUAACUCCGUGCCAGCGGCCGCGGUAAUACGUAGGGGGCAAGCGUUAUCCGGAUUUACUGGGUGUAAAGGGGGCGCAGACGGCGAUGCAAGCCAGGAGUGAAAGCCCGGGGCCCAACCCCGGGACUGCUGUUGGAACUGCGUGGCUGGAGUGCAGGAGGGGCAGGCGGAAUUCCUGGUGUAGCGGUGAAAUGCGUAGAUAUCAGGAGGAACACCGGUGGCGAAGGCGGCCUGCUGGACUGCAACUGACGUUGAGGCCCGAAAGCGUGGGGAGCAAACAGGAUUAGAUACCCCUGUAGUC